CGGGCGUAGCAAUACGUCAGUGGCAGACGGGUGAGUAACGCGUGGGAACGUACCUUUUGGUUCGGAACAACUGAGGGAAACUUCAGCUAAUACCGGAUAAGCCCUUACGGGGAAAGAUUUAUCGCCGAAAGAUCGGCCCGCGUCUGA
This 147-nucleotide ribosomal RNA is filed under the name uncultured Rhodopseudomonas sp. Its description in RNAcentral is "partial 16S ribosomal RNA". It matches the Rfam family "Bacterial small subunit ribosomal RNA", at positions 67 to 240 of the family's 1533-position model. The record is from RNAcentral. Lineage: Bacteria; Pseudomonadati; Pseudomonadota; Alphaproteobacteria; Hyphomicrobiales; Nitrobacteraceae.